AGCUCGUACAGCUCCAUCUCCUCGGUUCCCAGCACUUUCUUCCGCCGAAGCGCUAGCUUCUGCAGCGUCGCCGCCUCCAGCCCUGUAGAUGUCCCGAGUGCAGCACCGGCUGCCGCCAUCAGCGUAGCCUGAAAAAGUACAGCAUCUGCACCUGAUUCUAUCGCUGCCUCAGCUGCUGACUGCACCUCUGCAGCCACCAAUGUCUCACUGCCAAGGCUGCAGCCUGGGGGAGCCUUCACAUCUAGCUGCCACCACCUCAGCCACCUCCACACCUCCAGCAUUAGGUGAUGGAGCCCUUCUCCACCUGAAAAGGCAGAGGACAUGUCAGAGGAAAUAUCAUGGAGGGAUCUCAGUGAUGCCAAUGUACAAUCAGCAUCUACGUCACUAGGUUCAAUGUGGGUUAUCUCAAGUGUGGUUAAAAAAAAAAAAAAUGUGUUCCCUGAGCCACUUGGAGGAGAACAACUUUGAAACACCUGGAACAAAGAGAUUUUAUGAGGGCCUUGCCCAAAAAGACAUGCUUUAUAAAAGAAAAAGUAAGUAUAUUAUUGGCCAAAUAGAAAACCAUAGAAAGAGCCGUUCCACAAAGAGGCCUGCACAUCAUAUAACACUCCCUCGAUUUCCAUUGAAGAGGAGAUGGAGUCAGCUGGCUCUGCCCACUUUUUUCACAACACCACAACAAAGGCCAGGCAAUAAAGGCCAGAAGGUAAAUAAAAAACAUAUCUAGGGCUUCUCUAAGUUUAUUUCACCUGAUUUACACAUCAGAUAUUAACUCACCUAUGAAUUCUGCUCCACAGAGUGAUUAUUUGAACACAUUUAGAAUGUCUGAGGAGACAGAAAAUGCUGCCUCAUUUAGGAAAACACAUGAGGCUGAGAUAGAGACCAUCACUUGUAGUUCUACAACACUGGAUGUAUUCUGCGUGCUAGAAGACAGCAAGUGUAAAAUGAGCCCUGAACCUCAUGAUGAUGCCAGCAGUAUAGAGAACAAAGCAAGUGAAUAUUUGAGUGACCUUAUUAUUCAGAUGACAGGGGAUCUUAGGUAUUUUGUGUCCCACCCUCAGCAUGGGAACAACCAAUUCGAAAAUGUUAGUGGCAUGAUGACCAUCGACUUCCCAUCUCCAUAUACAAAGGAAGAGCUUCAGGAGGUACACAUAGCCACCAGCAACCACAGCAGAAGGAGCUGAAAAGGGGUGAGGAGGCAGCUUAGGAACCUGUUUCGAGGGUUAUGUUGCUGUCUCCUCGCCCCAAGUAGAGAAGUUUCAACAUCCAGGGUCGAAGAUGAGGCCCAGGUCCGUGAAGCCUAAACCACAGGUCUGUGUUCAGCCUGGUGGGGCACAACACACACUGGAGGGAACCAGGCCAGAACAGAAAAGAGGUGUGCCCCAAACUUCUCAUAUAUGCCAUACAACUCUAGCAACCAGAGAAGAAGCUCUGUAAACAUUCUCCCAUGCAGAGAGGGAGGCUGAAUUUUAUUGGUCUGCAGCUCUCAUGGCUGUACAGUGAAACCAGUCCCUUAGUCACCUGGCCAUGAAGAGGAAUCCAUCCUGCUACUCAGUCCACAUACGAAAAAGGCUGCUGGUCUUGGUAAUUGGGCAUAUGGACCUCUUUGCAAGAUCAGCAAUUUGUCUGGAAAAGAGUUCCUGGGCCACACCUGUAGCCAAGACCAAGUUGCUGUGGUAGUCUACAUUCUUCAACUCUUGUGGCAAUGAUGAUGCAGUGGGUCAUCAUGGUCAUCAUAAUGAGGACUUGACUCUUGAAUAAAUUUUCCCGUGAAACCUGUCCCAGCUGCCCUAGAGCACAAGAUACAGGAACAUGGUAUCCCAGGAAACAUCCUUCAAGUUUUCCUGCCUUGUCCCUCAUGAACAUCUCAUAAAGAUGUGUGAAGAGACUAUUGUGAUCCAUUUCUUUCCCUCAGAAGCUUUUUGGUGGGAGCAGCUUCCUGAACCCAUGUUGGAUAAUUCAUGAUCACCUCACAAGAUGCAUCUGCUGAAGAGCAUGAUUGUCUGAAAGGACAGCAGGAGACUCUCUGUGCUAUCAUCCUGGGAGAGACACAGAACAGCAGCCUUUAGUUUGUUAUAGGAGGCUUGGCCAUAGUACCUCAGUGUUGUGAACCCUGUGUGUGCACUUCAGCCCUGAUAUUCAGACACAAGUCGCUUGGAGAAACUAUAGCAGUGUAACUAUCUCUAUAAUUAAAGCAAGACUUCUCAGGCCUGA
Molecule: non-coding RNA, 2211 nt
Organism: Cricetulus griseus (Chinese hamster)
Lineage: Eukaryota; Metazoa; Chordata; Mammalia; Rodentia; Cricetidae
Source: RefSeq, a predicted model, not a curated record